UACGGGGGGGGCAAGCGUUGUUCGGAAUUACUGGGCGUAAAGGGCGCGUAGGCGGCCUGCUAAGUCACACGAGAAAUCCCUCGGCUCAACCGGGGAACUGCGUGUGAUACUGGCGGGCUUGAAUUCGGGAGAGGGAUGUGGAAUUCCAGGUGUAGCGGUGAAAUGCGUAGAUAUCUGGAGGAACACCGGUGGCGAAGGCGGCAUCCUGGACCGAGAUUGACGCUGAGGCGCGAAAGCUAGGGGAGCAAACGGG
RNAcentral lists this ribosomal RNA (253 nucleotides) under uncultured bacterium. Its description in RNAcentral is "partial 16S ribosomal RNA". It matches the Rfam family "Bacterial small subunit ribosomal RNA", at positions 524 to 776 of the family's 1533-position model. The record is from RNAcentral.